Molecule: ribosomal RNA, 1534 nt
Filed under: uncultured bacterium
Lineage: Bacteria
Description: 16S ribosomal RNA
Rfam family: Bacterial small subunit ribosomal RNA
Source: RNAcentral
GAGUUUGAUCCUGGCUCAGGAUGAACGCCGGCGGUGUGCCUAAUACAUGCAAGUCGUACGCACUGGCCCAACUGAUUGAUGGUGCUUGCACCUGAUUGACGAUGGAUUACCAGUGAGUGGCGGACGGGUGAGUAACACGUAGGUAACCUGCCCCGGAGCGGGGGAUAACAUUUGGAAACAGAUGCUAAUACCGCAUAACAACAAAAGCCACAUGGCUUUUGUUUGAAAGAUGGCUUUGGCUAUCACUCUGGGAUGGACCUGCGGUGCAUUAGCUAGUUGGUAAGGUAACGGCUUACCAAGGCGAUGAUGCAUAGCCGAGUUGAGAGACUGAUCGGCCACAAUGGAACUGAGACACGGUCCAUACUCCUACGGGAGGCAGCAGUAGGGAAUCUUCCACAAUGGGCGCAAGCCUGAUGGAGCAACACCGCGUGAGUGAAGAAGGGUUUCGGCUCGUAAAGCUCUGUUGUUGGAGAAGAACGUGCGUGAGAGUAACUGUUCACGCAGUGACGGUAUCCAACCAGAAAGUCACGGCUAACUACGUGCCAGCAGCCGCGGUAAUACGUAGGUGGCAAGCGUUAUCCGGAUUUAUUGGGCGUAAAGCGAGCGCAGGCGGUUGCUUAGGUCUGAUGUGAAAGCCUUCGGCUUAACCGAAGAAGUGCAUCGGAAACCGGGCGACUUGAGUGCAGAAGAGGACAGUGGAACUCCAUGUGUAGCGGUGGAAUGCGUAGAUAUAUGGAAGAACACCAGUGGCGAAGGCGGCUGUCUGGUCUGCAACUGACGCUGAGGCUCGAAAGCAUGGGUAGCGAACAGGAUUAGAUACCCUGGUAGUCCAUGCCGUAAACGAUGAGUGCUAGGUGUUGGAGGGUUUCCGCCCUUCAGUGCCGGAGCUAACGCAUUAAGCACUCCGCCUGGGGAGUACGACCGCAAGGUUGAAACUCAAAGGAAUUGACGGGGGCCCGCACAAGCGGUGGAGCAUGUGGUUUAAUUCGAAGCUACGCGAAAGAACCUUACCAGGUCUUGACAUCUUGCGCUAACCUUAGAGAUAAGGCGUUCCCUUCGGGGACGCAAUGACAGGUGGUGCAUGGUCGUCGUCAGCUCGUGUCGUGAGAUGUUGGGUUAAGUCCCGCAACGAGCGCAACCCUUGUUACUAGUUGCCAGCAUUAAGUUGGGCACUCUAGUGAGACUGCCGGUGACAAACCGGAGGAAGGUGGGGACGACGUCAGAUCAUCAUGCCCCUUAUGACCUGGGCUACACACGUGCUACAAUGGACGGUACAACGAGUCGCAAGCUCGCGAGAGUAAGCUAAUCUCUUAAAGCCGUUCUCAGUUCGGACUGUAGGCUGCAACUCGCCUACACGAAGUCGGAAUCGCUAGUAAUCGCGGAUCAGCAUGCCGCGGUGAAUACGUUCCCGGGCCUUGUACACACCGCCCGUCACACCAUGGGAGUUUGUAACGCCCAAAGUCGGUGGCCUAACCUUUAUGGAGGGAGCCGCCUAAGGCGGGACAGAUGACUGGGGUGAAGUCGUAACAAGGUA